AGAAUGUCCAAUAAAAAGUUAUGAACUUCAAUCAAAUAAAAAUUUCACUUAAGAAUCCAAGGGGCAUCCUAAGGCAAUGUCCAGCCUUUGGACAUUUAAUGCUUUUGUAUCCUGAGUAUUUCAGUUGCAUGACAAGCCUCACAAAUUGUUGAUACUGAUGAGAGAUAGUUCACAUGAUUUUAGCAUACUCUUUAAGAACAUUCAUAUAUUAAAAUAUCCCUCAAGGUUACUUCUUGUUUCAUUGACAACUUUGGCUGCUUCCAUGGGAUUUCCAGAAGUUGCAUUCUUCUUUGAAGGCAUUCAACACAACUCACUCACUGGAAACUGCUUUCCUGGACAAAAUUCAAAAUGUGCUAUCUUUAUUAAACACAUUUGUAUCCUAAAAGCUUGGACAAGACCACAAGAAUCUAAGGAUAACCAGUUCAGUUCAGUCGCUCAGUCAUGUCUGACACUAUGCAACCCCAUGGGCUGCAGUACGCCAGGCCUCCCUGUCCAUCACCAACUCCCGGAGUUUACUCAAACUCAUGUCCAUUGAGUCAGUGAGGCCAUCCAGCCAUCUCAUCCUCUGUCGUCCCCGUCUCCUCCCACCUUCAGUCUUUCCCAGCAUGAGGGUCUUUUCCAAUGAGUAAGUUCUUUGCAUCAGAUGCCCAAAGUACUGGAGUUUCAGCUUCAAUAUCAGUCCUUCCAGUGAACACCCAGGACUGAUCUCCUUGCAGAUGGACUGGUUGGAUCUCCUUGCAGUCCAAGGGACUCUCAAGAGUCUUCUCCAACACCAUAGUUCAAAAAGCAUCAAUUCUUCGGCACUCAGCUUUCUUCACAGUCCAACUCUCACAUCCAUACAUGACCACUGGAAAAACCGUAGCUUUGGCUAAACGGACCUUUGUUGGCAAAGUAAUGUCUCUGCUUUUGAAUAGGCUAUCUAAGUUGAUCAUAACUUUCCUUCCAAGGAGUAAGCGCCUUUUAAUUUCAUGGCUGGAAUCACCAUCUGCAGUGAUUUUGGAGCCCCAAAAUAUAAAGUCUGACACUGUUUGCACUGUUUCCCCAUGUAUUUGCCAUGAAGUGAUGGGACCAGAUGCCAUGAUCUUCGUUUUCUGAAUGUUGAGCUUUAAGCCAACUUUUUCACUCUCCUCUUUCACUUUCAUCAAGAGGCUCUUUAGUUCUUCUUCACUUUCUGCCAGAGGGGUGGUGUCAUCUGCAUGUCUGAGGUUAUUGAUAUUUCUCCCAGCAAUCUUGAUUCCAGCUUGUGUUUCCUCCAACCCAGCAUUUCUCAUGAUGUACUCCGCAUAGAAGUUAAAUAAGCAGGGUGACAAUAUACAGCCUUGAAGGACUCCUUUUCCUAUUUGGAACCAGUCUGUUCCAUGUCCAGUUCUAACUGUUGCUUCCUGACCUGCAUACAGGUUUCUCAAGAGGCAGGUCAGGUGGUCUGGUAUUCCCAUCUCUUUCAGAAUUUUCCACAGUUUAUUGUGAUCCACACAGUCAAAGGCUUUGGCAUAGUCAAUAAAGCAGAAAUAGAUGGUGCGGCCAAAUAGAUAAAAUAAACAGACUGGAUCAGGUCUUCCCUUUAGAAGUCCUCAUAUCCACACCCUCCAUAGUCCCCUAGACUGUUAACUCCAAUGAAGGCAGAGACCCCAUCGAUUUUCUUCAUCCUUUGAUUCAUCUCACUGAGCCCAGAGUCUGAC
Long non-coding RNA from Capra hircus (goat), 1679 nucleotides. Lineage: Eukaryota; Metazoa; Chordata; Mammalia; Artiodactyla; Bovidae. The record is from Ensembl.